ACCUAGGAUAACUCAGUUGGUGCAGCAUGGGACUCUUAAUCUCAGGGUCAUGGGUUCGAGCACCAUGUUGGGUA
This is a non-coding RNA of Podarcis lilfordi (Lilford's wall lizard), 74 nucleotides long. The record is from the annotation of a GenBank genome assembly. NCBI's taxonomy places the organism in Eukaryota, Metazoa, Chordata, Lepidosauria, Squamata, Lacertidae.